CCCCUAGUAGCUCAGCCAGUAAAGCAUCUGCCUGCAAUGCAGGAGACCCAGCUUCAAUCCCUGGCUCGGAAA
Molecule: transfer RNA, 72 nt
Filed under: Ovis aries (sheep)
Lineage: Eukaryota; Metazoa; Chordata; Mammalia; Artiodactyla; Bovidae
Rfam family: tRNA
About the family: Transfer RNA (tRNA) molecules are approximately 80 nucleotides in length. Their secondary structure includes four short double-helical elements and three loops (D, anti-codon, and T loops).
Source: Rfam by way of RNAcentral